CCCCUAGUUCUAACCAUAAACGAUGCCAACCAGCGAUCCGCCUGAGUUACUCAAAUGACUCGGCGGGCAGCUUCCGGGAAACCAAAGUAUUUGGGUUCCGGGGGAAGUAUGGUUGCAAAGCUGAAACUUAAAGGAAUUGACGGAAGGGCACCACCAGGAGUGGAGCCUGCGGCUUAAUUUGACUCAACACGGGAAAACUUACCCGGCCCGGACACUGGGAGGAUUGACAGAUUGAGAGCUCUUUCUUGAUUCGGUGGAUGGUGGUGCAUGGCCGUUCUUAGUUGGUGGAGCGAUUUGUCUGGUUAAUUCCGAUAACGAACGAGACUCUAGCCUAUUAAAUAGGUGCGGGGUUCCCAGCACCUUACAACCUUCUUAGAGGGACAAGCGGCUCCUAGCCGCACGAAACAGAGCAAUAACAGGUCUGUGAUGCCCUUAGAUGUCCGGGGCCGCACGCGCGCUACACUGAAGGAGGCAGCGUGUUUUUUUCCCUGUCUGAAAAGACUGGGUAACCCGUGGAACUUCCUUCGUGAUUGGGAUAGGGGCUUGCAAUUGUUCCCCUUGAACGAGGAAUUCCCAGUAAGCGCGAGUCAUAAGCUCGCGUUGAUUACGUCCCUGCCCUUUGUACACACCGCCCGUCGCUACUACCGAUUGAAUGAUUUAGUGAGGUCUUCGGACCGAUGUCCGGCGCGGCCUUUCGGUUGCGCCGGUCUGUUGGAAAGAUGACCAAACUUGAUCAUUUAGAGGAAGUAAAAGUCGUAACAAGGUUUCCGUAGGU
RNAcentral lists this ribosomal RNA (775 nucleotides) under Haemaphysalis flava. Its description in RNAcentral is "SSU rRNA". It matches the Rfam family "Eukaryotic small subunit ribosomal RNA", at positions 1017 to 1810 of the family's 1831-position model. Lineage: Eukaryota; Metazoa; Arthropoda; Arachnida; Ixodida; Ixodidae. The record is from RNAcentral.